Molecule: ribosomal RNA, 544 nt
Filed under: uncultured bacterium
Lineage: Bacteria
Description: partial 16S ribosomal RNA
Rfam family: Bacterial small subunit ribosomal RNA
Source: RNAcentral
UAGGGAAUCUUCCACAAUGGACGCAAGUCUGAUGGAGCAACGCCGCGUGAGUGAAGAAGGUUUUCGGACCGUAAAGCUCUGUUGUUGGUGAAGAAGGAUAGAGGUAGUAACUGGCCUUUAUUUGACGGUAAUCAACCAGAAAGUCACGGCUAACUACGUGCCAGCAGCCGCGGUAAUACGUAGGUGGCAAGCGUUGUCCGGAUUUAUUGGGCGUAAAGCGAGCGCAGGCGGAAGAAUAAGUCUGAUGUGAAAGCCCUCGGCUUAACCGAGGAAUUGCAUCGGAAACUGUUUUCUUGAGUGCAGAAGAGGAGAGUAGAACUCCAUGUGUAGCGGUGGAAUGCGUAGAUAUAUGGAAGAAUACCAGUGGCGAAGGCGGCUCUCUGGUCUGCAACUGACGCUGAGGCUCGAAAGCAUGGGUAGCGAACAGGAUUAGAUACCCUGGUAGUCCAUGCCGUAAAACGAUGAGUGCUAAGUGUUGGGAGGCUUCCGCCUCUCAGUGCUGCAGCUAACGCAUUAAGCACUCCGCCUGGGGGAGUACGACCGC